This 72-nucleotide transfer RNA is filed under the name Nakaseomyces glabratus. RNAcentral's name for it is "Candida glabrata tRNA". It matches the Rfam family "tRNA". From Rfam's summary of the family: Transfer RNA (tRNA) molecules are approximately 80 nucleotides in length. Their secondary structure includes four short double-helical elements and three loops (D, anti-codon, and T loops). Lineage: Eukaryota; Fungi; Ascomycota; Saccharomycetes; Saccharomycetales; Saccharomycetaceae. The record is from Rfam by way of RNAcentral.
AUAGAUAUAAGUUAAGUGGUAAACUGAAUGUCUUCCACACAUUGAUUGUGAGUUCGAUUCUCACUAUCUAGA